AUUCCGUGAUGAGGGUACUUCUGAAAUAAUUCUUUAUACCUUUCCUGUGCCUCAUACAUGGACUCAUCAUCCAUUUGUUGGAAGGCAGUGAUCUCAUUUCUCAACUU
This 107-nucleotide small nucleolar RNA is filed under the name Gossypium arboreum. RNAcentral's name for it is "Plant small nucleolar RNA R71". It matches the Rfam family "Plant small nucleolar RNA R71". From Rfam's summary of the family: R71 is a member of the C/D box family of snoRNAs containing the C (UGAUGA) and D (CUGA) box motifs. Multiple nearly identical copies of this snoRNA have been identified in Arabidopsis, and it is thought to function as a 2'-O-ribose methylation guide for 18S ribosomal RNA. Lineage: Eukaryota; Viridiplantae; Streptophyta; Magnoliopsida; Malvales; Malvaceae. The record is from Rfam by way of RNAcentral.